RNAcentral lists this microRNA precursor (135 nucleotides) under Myotis lucifugus (little brown bat). Its description in RNAcentral is "miRNA (ENSMLUG00000028248.1)". The stretch from base 32 to 83 matches the Rfam family "mir-1302 microRNA precursor family". Lineage: Eukaryota; Metazoa; Chordata; Mammalia; Chiroptera; Vespertilionidae. The record is from RNAcentral.
AAAAUGUAAAAUUCAGAGAGACAAUGAAUCAUUUUUAGUAUAAGUAUGUUCCAUGGAAUAUUUGGGACAUACUUGUCCUAAAAUAUUAUUUGUUGUCUAUCUGAAAUUCAAAUGUGACUGGAAGGCCUGUAUUUU